GACGAACGCUGGCGGCGUGCUUAACACAUGCAAGUCGAACGCGCCUGUCCUCUGGGUUUCUGGGGGGUGGGUGAGUGGCGAACGGGUGAGUAACACGUGAGUAACCUGCCCCCUUCUUCGGGAUAACGGUCUGAAAGGGCUGCUAAUACCGGGUAUUCACUGGUCUCCGCAUGGGGUCUGGUGGAAAGGUUUUUUUCUGGUGGGGGAUGGGCUCGCGGCCUAUCAGCUUGUUGGUGGGGUGAUGGCCCACCAAGGCUUUGACGGGUAGCCGGCCUGAGAGGUUACCCGGUCACAUAGGGACGGAGAUACGGCCCAGACUCCUACGGGAGGCAGCAGUGGGGAAUAUGGCACAAUGGGCGCAAGCCUGAUGCAGCGACGCCGCGUGAGGGAUGGAGGCCUUCGGGUUGUGAACCUCUUUCGCCCGUGGUCAAGCCGCGACGUGGGUCGUGGUGAGGGUAGUGGGUAAAGAAGCGCCGGCUAACUACGUG
RNAcentral lists this ribosomal RNA (488 nucleotides) under uncultured bacterium. RNAcentral describes it as "partial 16S ribosomal RNA". It matches the Rfam family "Bacterial small subunit ribosomal RNA", at positions 28 to 507 of the family's 1533-position model. The record is from RNAcentral.